This 513-nucleotide ribosomal RNA is filed under the name uncultured bacterium. RNAcentral describes it as "partial 16S ribosomal RNA". It matches the Rfam family "Bacterial small subunit ribosomal RNA", at positions 30 to 523 of the family's 1533-position model. The record is from RNAcentral.
AUUGAACGCUGGCGGCAUGCCUAACACAUGCAAGUCGAACGGCAGCACAGUAAAGAUUUCGGUCUUUAUGGGUGGCGGGUGGCGGACGGGUGGGUAAUGCGUAGGAAUCUGUCCUGGAGAGUGGGAUAACCCGAGGAAACUCGGGCUAAUACUGCAUGAUAUCGAGAGAUCAAAGGCAGGGGACCCUUCGGGGCCUUGCGCCCUAGGAUGAGCCUACGUCGGAUUAGCUAGUUGGUGGGGUAAAGGCCUACCAAGGCGACGAUCCGUAGCUAGUCUGAGAGGAUGACCAGCCACACUGGGACUGAGACACGGCCCAGACUCCUACGGGAGGCAGCAGUGGGGAAUCUUGGACAAUGGGGGAAACCCUGAUCCAGCGAUGCCGCGUGUGUGAAGAAGGCCUUCGGGUUGUAAAGCACUUUAGUUGGGGAAGAAGAGUAAUGAGUGAAUAACUGAUUGCUCUGACGGUACCCAAAGAAUAAGCACCGGCUAACUCUGUGCCAGCCGCCGCCGUAA